AAGUAAGAUUAGAAGAAAUGCCGUGGGCAAGAAAUUCGCCAUCGACGAUGGCUGAAAUUGCCUCAGAGAAGACUCGCGUUUAAGGAGUCAGCAAGUCCAAAGCUGCUCGUCUACACUUCGUAGCUAACAUGAACAGGUGGAGAUUGAGCGAUUCAAAGCCAUUUGAAUCGACGAUAAACCUGUUCAAAUUAAAAUGUUGAUGAAAAUAAAAAUCACAAGUCUACGUACAGCUAUGACCGCGAGGACCGAAACGACCCAAAAACGACACCAAACGACACAAUACGAUACAACGUCGAAAAGCAGCGUAUAUCGGCGAUGUUUCCCGACAUCGUUAAAGGUUAGAGUAGCCUGGUGGUCAAAAAAUGUGCAUGCUAGGGUUCGGAUGUGUUUCGCACAAAAAAUGGUCACGAACAAUUUUUCUGCACUUCUGCAAAGCAGAAGUGAAUUGGUCGUCGCAUUAAGGGUCGCGAUGUUUUCAAACCACACCGUUAUUCAGAUGUUUAGGUUCUGGCCACCAGGAACAUAGCUAAUGCAUGAUGCAUGUGUAAAUAAAUUUGCAUGUGAGUAAAAUCAUUUUUUAAAAAUAAUUCGGUUAUAUAGGAUUCGGUUUUGCGCUCUCGCUGUGCGCUUAGGUCUACGCGCUAGGGCUUAGGUUGAUAAGUUGUAUGUUCAUAUACGAAAAUAACGAAAUGGCUUAAAAAGCCAUGCACAUGAUCAUAAAUCACAUGCAGCCUCAAAUGGCAAACAUAAUCUCAUAGGUUCUGUACAUGCACACAUACAAAAUAUAGCCUCGAAAUGGCAAACAUAAUCCCAUAGGUUCUUACUUUGUUCCAUCUCUCGGAACACUAUUCUUGGGUAACUAAUUGCGGCUCCGAAUGUAGAUUUAUAAUUACAUAAGAAACAA
Dendronephthya gigantea is the source of this 904-nucleotide long non-coding RNA. RefSeq lists it as uncharacterized. The record is from RefSeq and is a predicted model, not a curated record. NCBI's taxonomy places the organism in Eukaryota, Metazoa, Cnidaria, Anthozoa, Malacalcyonacea, Nephtheidae. The transcript is spliced from 3 exons.